Molecule: small nuclear RNA, 192 nt
Organism: Rattus rattus (black rat)
Lineage: Eukaryota; Metazoa; Chordata; Mammalia; Rodentia; Muridae
Product: U2 spliceosomal RNA
Exons: 1
Source: RefSeq, a predicted model, not a curated record
GUCAUUUUUCUGUCUUCUGCCUAGAAUAAAGUAUAUAAUAUCUGUUCUUCUACAUUUAAUAUCUUGAUAUGUUCUCUGUCUAAUGACACAAGUUAAACGGAUUUUGGGAACUUGGGGGGGUGGAAUAAGACUUGCUUUAUCCACUCUAGGCAGUAACCUGAUAUUUCAGUAUCUCUAGGAUUCGUACCUUCU